Papaver somniferum (opium poppy) is the source of this 1145-nucleotide long non-coding RNA. RefSeq lists it as uncharacterized. The transcript is spliced from 7 exons. Lineage: Eukaryota; Viridiplantae; Streptophyta; Magnoliopsida; Ranunculales; Papaveraceae. The record is from RefSeq and is a predicted model, not a curated record.
CUUAUUGUGCUUGAAUGGGUAUUCCAGCAAGUAUAAGAAACUCUUUUGUAGCUCUUAGGAGAUUUUGUGCAUAGGGGUUACCUUUAGUAUAUCUGUGUCUAAAUCUUGACCAAAGAACAAAUCAGAUGGUCCUUUAAAAAUUUGAAGAGUGUCAGCAGUAAGAAGCAAGAUUAACUGGUGAAUUCUGAUUUCCGAUUAACCGGUUAACCUGUACCGAUUGAAGAAGCAAAACAAAGAUGGCCGGAUAGAUAUGAUGCAUUGAAGCCAAGGGAAGGUGGUGAGAUUUACCACUUAUGGGUCCGUUGUCACAUUAAGUGGUGGACCAGCAUGCCUGGGAAUCUCCGUCCUCAACAGGAUCUGGAAUUAUGAGGACCCUAUGAAUGACCCCAGGAAUUAUUAGCUGGUCGUCUUCAUGGACAUCGUCCAAUUUCUACAGCCAAAGUUCACUUUGAUGGAGAAUGUUGUGGAUGGCACACUUGGUCGGUAUGCCAUGUGUCGACUUGUAGCAAUAAAGUACCAAGUCUGUCUUGGUUUAUUGAUAGCUGGAAGUUUUGGGCUUCUACAAUUCUGAAUGCCCGCAUUCCUUUGGGGUGCCAAAAACACCAAGAAACUACGUCAAUUUCCUCUACCAAUGCAUAAGGAUAUUGCUCGUGGGUUUAGCCCUAAGCAGUCUGAGCGAAAUGUGGUUAAGGGGGAUGAAGAAUAUACACUGCAGUUGAAGGAUGAUUUACUACUUAAAGAUGCAAUUUAUGAUUUGCCCGAGAUUACAAUGCAUGAGACUCCAAGAUGAGCAGGACUAUGGUAAUGAAAUCCUACGACAGAUUUCUAGAGGAUUAUCCGACUACCAAAGCAGAAGUUGAUGGGAUCGGCUUAGCCUUACCCAGAGGAAUUGAUGACUUUAAAGCUUUACGACCAUAGGCCUCUGAAACUGAUUGAGGAUGAUAAUCUUCGGGUUUCCCAGAUUCCAAGGGAAAAUGUUAGUUUUUAGUACCUUGGCGAAAUCAGUUUUCAUCUUGUAAUACAAAACAUAUAUUGAUUAUAUUGUUUUGCCGACUUAUUAGGGUGCCAACUUCAGAAACCUCCCUGGUGUUGUAAUUGAUGAGAAAAACAAGGCACGUCCUGAUCCAAAAAUAAAGAAAGUAAUU